RNA transcript from Hordeum vulgare subsp. vulgare (domesticated barley), 2529 nucleotides. RefSeq lists it as uncharacterized. The transcript is spliced from 16 exons. NCBI's taxonomy places the organism in Eukaryota, Viridiplantae, Streptophyta, Magnoliopsida, Poales, Poaceae. The record is from RefSeq and is a predicted model, not a curated record.
UCGGAAACGUCCUCCUCCCCUCCCCAUAUCAAAAGGCAGUUCCCUUCCUCCACUUGUACGAAGGAUCCAUUCUCCAGCAGAUUAAUCAUGGCCUUUCCUCCCUCCCGAGUAUCAUAGCUCGCCCAACUGAUUCCACCAUUGUUGUUGAGGGGCACAAGAGGCAUCUUGUUCAGCAACUGGGACGGCAAGGUGGCAAGCAGAUCAACUCCCACACCCGAUUCAUAGAAGCAGAAGAAUUUUGGAGAGUCUUCAGAUAGAUUGGGUUGCUUAUAACAACUGCUGGCGAGUCAGGUGCGGAUGCGCUAAGUAUUUCAAUCCAGUUUUCUACCAUUACUACCUUGAAGAUAUGUCAAGGACAAGAAUUAACGUUGUUGAAUCCAAUGAAGAGUAUAUGAUGGAAGAACCAAUUGAACAUCAUAAUUUUGGUGAAAAAGAUCUCGAAUCAUCCGAUGUCCAUGAAAGAACUACUAAUGGUGAAGAAGGCUUCACCGAUUGUGAUGAUGCUGAUGCGGAUGAAAAUGAAGACGCUGAAAAUGCAGAAACAAAAGAGCGUAAGAAGAGGAAGCUCAAAUAUAUUUGGAACCUUCCAAAAGGAAAAAGGAUAAUGGUUCGCUGCAAUGACAUAGACCAGCCAAUUGGAAAAGAGGCUAAACACCUUGGGGACUUUCUUGGCUCAGUUGCAAGGAAUGGAUCAUUGUGCUGUUUGAGCUACAAGGAUUGGAGAUUGCUCAAAACUAAAACAAAUUUAAAGGCUAUACUAGAUCAAGUGAAGACAAUUGGAGACAGAUGGAGGCAACAUAAGUCCGAUCUGAAAGCAAUGUAUUUUGAUGAGAAAAAUAGCACCGAAGCCAAUUACAACAAUAAACCAAAAUCGGUGACUCCGGACUAGUGGAGAUCUCUAGUUAAUCAUUGGACAACCGAGAAAGCGAAGGGGCUUAGUGCUAUAAAUAGAAACAAUUGUUCAAUGAGGAAGUCUACACAUACUAGUGGGACAAAAAGUUUCCCUCGGCAGAGGGAAGAAAUGAAAGAUGCAGAUCCUGAAAAGAAGUACCCUCAUAGGGCUCACCUGUUCAUCCAUACGCACAAGCCGAAAACUUGCAAGAACAAAAUCAUUAAUGCUCAUGUGGAGGAGUUAAAGGAUAUUAUGGAUAAGAACCCUGAAUUAGCAAAUAAUAGCGAUGGAAAGACUGCAUGGAAAGGAGAUGCGUUGAACAAAGUAUUAGGGGAUGACAAGCCUGGCCAUGUACAUGGUUUGGGACUAGUUCCAAACCCCAAAGAACUUUUUGAUGUUUCUACUUCAUGUCUAUUCCAGAAUACGCAUUUUACUUCGGUGGGAGAUACACAAAAUGAAGAUAUGCUAGCUUUUAGAGUUGAAAUGGAAAAAUUACAAGAAGUAAAUAAAAAUCAAGAUGCUAAAAUUAUGGAACUCGAGGAGAAGAUGAGAAGAAUGGAAAGACGACCAUAUCAGGAAAUUUCAGAUCCAAUGGCUACAAUUGGGAUCGAACCUUCGGUCAAUGGACACAACUCAGACAGAAAAAGAGUGCUUGCUCCUCCGGCUGAUGGAGCCCAACUUGUUAAAAAACCAUCUAAUUUACACAACAAGCCAAGUAUGUCAAACGAUUCAGAUUUACAAGUAUCAAACAAGAAUUCUGUUUCAGAUAAGAACAAAGAAACUAUGGUUCAUAAUGGUGGCAGUGCACGACAACUAGAAAAAUGUUUUGCUGGACACAAGAAUGUUGUGCGAAACCAAGAAGCUUUUGAUCAUAGUUACACUGCUCAGCAAGGGGAAACAAAUUCUGCUGCACAUAAGAAUGUUGUUCAGAUUAAAGAAACUUUGGUUCAAAAUGUCCGUACACAGCAGGGAGAAAAAACGUUUGCUGCAAACAAAGUGACUAAAAAACAACAAAAGGUGCUACUGCAAGUAGUAAGAGUGCUGAGAGUGGUUCAUUGAGCUGGUUGGGUGCCAGUGAAUUACCUGUAGGAACUAAAGUAUUCCUGAAGAGCCUGAUAAAACAUAAUAGGGACGUAGCUCUUGCUACAAUUAUGAGUUGUGAUCCUAAAUUUAAACUUGAUGGUGCUAAAAUUGGAAAUGAAUAUUGGGUGGUGCAUGUUGAUAUGGCACUUGUGAAAACUGAAAAUUUGGUACGGAGUCGCAAAGACUACAAUACUCUCGGUAAUGCAGAAAAAACAAAGAUUGCAUGGCCCUCAACCUUUAUUAAAAAGAUAAAUGGAUGACUAUAUGGAUGCGUGGCAAGUGUACUGCAUUGAUGAUGUUGAUGAUCUGUUUCAUGAUGCGGACGAUGAUAGAUUCUUUCAGAUUUAGUUAUGUUGUGUGGAUGACAUUCCUGUUGGAUGUUUUCCUCAAUUAAAUUUUAGUGAAGUUAUAGGGGUGUUAAUGGAUGCUUUCAGUUUAAGUUUCAUUUUCAAGAAAAUAGUUAGAUUAUGCAUCACAUUUGAUGAUGUUCCUCUUGUAAUAUCAUUGUAAUCCAACAAUUUUAUCUCAUAUAUAAUUUCUUCCUCUUAUCAAUA